This is a long non-coding RNA of Cygnus atratus (black swan), 997 nucleotides long. RefSeq lists it as uncharacterized. The record is from RefSeq and is a predicted model, not a curated record. The transcript has 3 exons. NCBI's taxonomy places the organism in Eukaryota, Metazoa, Chordata, Aves, Anseriformes, Anatidae.
AAGUGCUGUCUGAUGGAUUUCUAAGUAGAUAGAAAGGUGGAUCAGCUGAAAAAAGUUGUUAUCUGAAAAAGGAUUGACUUCCAAGGCUGCCUGUGAAAUAGCUUUAGCCAUGAAAUAUGUGCUAGAACAAGCAAAGAAAACCACCAGAUGACAAAAUGGGAUGGAUAAAGUGCAUGAGACAACAAAACAAAAAGCUUUCCUUAAAACUCCAUUGUCAUAACAUAUUCCUCCACUGGGUCCGUGAACAAAACACUUCACAGGAAGUGCAGUGCAAGAGCAGGAGGUCGGCGAAAGUUGUAGAUGGGGAAGCAAAUGCAGCUGCUGUAGAUAGAAAAUGAGAGGUUCAGAAUGGGGUAUACAGCAAAGAGCUGUGCAUAGGAGCAGCACUGGACAGUGUGCUGAGCAUAGGAGAGGAAAGCGGAUGGGAAUGAGCAAUUUCUGGACUAAGCUGAGCUGGGUAUAAUUGAAUUCUAGGAGACAAACUACUUUAAGAAAAAAAUGAUGUCACUCUUUUUACAUUGCAAAAAUGUAGUCUAGCAUACCCUGGUGAUGGGGAGUACAGAUAUAACGAUAGGGCCAGGAGAGCUAUGCUUGAGGUUAACUGAAUGCCUAACAUGUGUGUCCAAGUGGGAGGAAGCUGUGAUGAGACUGUCAUAUCCUCAGUUCACCUCAUAAAUAAACACCAGGCGUAGAGGAUUGCUGUAUAAGGCUGCAGUUCAAAAGGACUGAAAUCUGACAGCAGACACUGCUUCUCCUCGACAAGCACACCUUUAACCAUGCUUACUGGUUGUUCUGCUUAAGAAGAAUGUAAGGAAAGUUCUGCUUAAGAAAAUUCAAAAGAAACCUGCUACGAAAAAAAAAACAAACAACAAACAAACGAACAAACAAGCAACCAAACAAGCAAAUAAAACCCAACACCCAGAACAUAACAUACAAAGGUGUACUGUGAGUGAAGGAAAUACCUUUACUAAUAAAUUUAUUGCACACACUGAUAAUG